Molecule: transfer RNA, 134 nt
Filed under: Aureobasidium melanogenum CBS 110374
Lineage: Eukaryota; Fungi; Ascomycota; Dothideomycetes; Dothideales; Saccotheciaceae
Rfam family: tRNA
About the family: Transfer RNA (tRNA) molecules are approximately 80 nucleotides in length. Their secondary structure includes four short double-helical elements and three loops (D, anti-codon, and T loops).
Source: Rfam by way of RNAcentral
GGGCAGAUGGCCGAGUGGUUAAGGCGCUGGCUUUAGGUUGUAUGGAAGGAUUCGUUCCGCGUGGAGAAAAUCUUUCCUAUCGUAACUUAAACCGCCAGUUCGAAAGAGCGUGGGUUCGAACCCCACUCUGCUCA